CCUACGGGAGGCAGCAGUGAGGAAUAUUGGUCAAUGGACGAAAGUCUGAACCAGCCAAGUAGCGUGAAGGAUGACUGCCCUAUGGGUUGUAAACUUCUUUUAUAUGGGAAUAAAAUGUUCUACGUGUAGGAUUUUGUAUGUACCAUAUGAAUAAGGAUUGGCUAACUCCGUGCCAGCAGCCGCCGUAAUACGGAGGAUCCGAGCGUUUUCCGGAUUUUUUGGGUUUAAAGGGAGCGUAGGUGGGUUGUUAAGUCAGUUGUGAAAGUGUGCGGCUCAACCGUAACAUUGCAGUUGAAACUGGCAGUCUUGAGUACAGUAGAGGUAGGCGGAAUUCGUGGUGUAGCGGUGAAAUGCUUAGAUAUCACGAAGAACUCCGAUUGCGAAGGCAGCAUACUGGACUGCAACUGACGCUGAGGCUCGAAAGUGUGGGUAUCAAACAGGAUUAGAUACCCUUGUAGUC
RNAcentral lists this ribosomal RNA (460 nucleotides) under uncultured bacterium. Its description in RNAcentral is "partial 16S ribosomal RNA". It matches the Rfam family "Bacterial small subunit ribosomal RNA", at positions 338 to 795 of the family's 1533-position model. The record is from RNAcentral.